GAGGGCAUAGUUCAGCGGUAGAGUGCUUGCUUAGCAUGCAGGAGGUCCUGGGUUCAAUCUACAGUACCUUCA
Molecule: transfer RNA, 72 nt
Filed under: Camelus bactrianus (Bactrian camel)
Lineage: Eukaryota; Metazoa; Chordata; Mammalia; Artiodactyla; Camelidae
Also listed under: 2 other names
Rfam family: tRNA
About the family: Transfer RNA (tRNA) molecules are approximately 80 nucleotides in length. Their secondary structure includes four short double-helical elements and three loops (D, anti-codon, and T loops).
Source: Rfam by way of RNAcentral